This 497-nucleotide ribosomal RNA is filed under the name uncultured bacterium. RNAcentral describes it as "partial 16S ribosomal RNA". It matches the Rfam family "Bacterial small subunit ribosomal RNA", at positions 28 to 507 of the family's 1533-position model. The record is from RNAcentral.
GAUGAACGCUGGCGGCGUGCCUAAUACAUGCAAGUCGAGCGAACAGAUGAGGAGCUUGCUCCUCUGACGUUAGCGGCGGACGGGUGAGUAACACGUGGAUAACCUACCUAUAAGACUGGGAUAACUUCGGGAAACCGGAGCUAAUACCGGAUAAUAUAUUGAACCGCAUGGUUCAAUAGUGAAAGACGGUUUUGCUGUCACUUAUAGAUGGAUCCGCGCCGCAUUAGCUAGUUGGUAAGGUAACGGCUUACCAAGGCAACGAUGCGUAGCCGACCUGAGAGGGUGAUCGGCCACACUGGAACUGCGACACGGUCCAGACUCCUACGGGAGGCAGCAGUAGGGAAUCUUCCGCAAUGGGCGAAAGCCUGACGGAGCAACGCCGCGUGAGUGAUGAAGGUCUUCGGAUCGUAAAACUCUGUUAUUAGGGAAGAACAAAUGUGUAAGUAACUACGCACGUCUUGACGGUACCUAAUCAGAAAGCCACGGCUAACUACGUG